GAUGAACGCUGGCGGCGUGCUUAACACAUGCAAGUCGAACGAUGAAGCCUAGCUUGCCGGGUGGAUUAGUGGCGAACGGGUGAGUAACACGUGAGUAACCUGCCCUUAAUUCUGGGAUAAGUCGGGGAAACUAGGUCUAAUCCCGGAUAGGAGCGCCUACCGCAUGGAGGGUGUUGGCAGGAUUUGUCGGUGUUGGAUGGACUCGUGGCGUAUCAUCUUGUUGGUGAGAGAUUGUCUCACGAAGGCGACGUGAGCUAGCCGGCCUGAGAGGGGGACCGGCCACACGGCGACUAAGACACGGGCCAGACGCCUACGGGAGGCAUCAGUGGGGAGUAUUGGCCAGAGGGCGAGAGCCUGAGGCGGCGACGCCGGGUGUGGGAUGACGGCCUUCGGGUGGUAAAGCGCAUUCAGUAGGGAUGAAGCGGUAGUGACGGUACCGGCAGAAGAAGCACCGGCUAACUACGUG
RNAcentral lists this ribosomal RNA (466 nucleotides) under uncultured bacterium. RNAcentral's name for it is "partial 16S ribosomal RNA". It matches the Rfam family "Bacterial small subunit ribosomal RNA", at positions 28 to 507 of the family's 1533-position model. The record is from RNAcentral.